UACGAAGGGGGCUAGCGUUGCUCGGAAUCACUGGGCGUAAAGGGUGCGUAGGCGGGUUUUUAAGUCAGGGGUGAAAUCCUGGAGCUCAACUCCAGAACUGCCUUUGAUACUGGCGACCUUGAGUCCGGGAGAGGUGAGUGGAACUGCGAGUGUAGAGGUGAAAUUCGUAGAUAUUCGCAAGAACACCAGUGGCGAAGGCGGCUUACUGGUCCGGUUCUGACGCUGAGGCGCGAAAGCGUGGGGAGCAAACAGG
This 253-nucleotide ribosomal RNA is filed under the name uncultured bacterium. Its description in RNAcentral is "partial 16S ribosomal RNA". It matches the Rfam family "Bacterial small subunit ribosomal RNA", at positions 524 to 776 of the family's 1533-position model. The record is from RNAcentral.